ACAGAGGUCUCAAGCGUUGUUCGGAUUCAUUGGGCGUAAAGGGUGCGUAGGUGGCGCGCUAAGUCGGGUGUGAAAUGCCGGGGCUCAACCUCGGCACUGCAUUCGAUACUGGCGUGCUUGAGGACUGGAGAGGAGACUGGAAUUCCUGGUGUAGCGGUGAAAUGCGUAGAUAUCAGGAGGAACACCUGCGGUGUAGACGGCUUACUGGACCACCACUGACGCUGAGGCACGAAAGCGUGGGUAGCAAACAGGA
This 253-nucleotide ribosomal RNA is filed under the name uncultured prokaryote. Its description in RNAcentral is "partial 16S ribosomal RNA". It matches the Rfam family "Bacterial small subunit ribosomal RNA", at positions 525 to 777 of the family's 1533-position model. The record is from RNAcentral.